This 253-nucleotide unclassified non-coding RNA is filed under the name uncultured Spirochaetaceae bacterium. Its description in RNAcentral is "contains 16S-23S intergenic spacer region". It matches the Rfam family "Bacterial small subunit ribosomal RNA", at positions 524 to 776 of the family's 1533-position model. Lineage: Bacteria; Pseudomonadati; Spirochaetota; Spirochaetia; Spirochaetales; Spirochaetaceae. The record is from RNAcentral.
CACGUAUGGGGCGAGCGUUGUUCGGAAUUAUUGGGCGUAAAGGGCGUGUAGGCGGUAAUGAAAGCCCGGUGUGAAAGGCUCAGGCUCAACCUGAGUAUGUCGCUGGGAACUGCAUAACUGGAGUCUUGGAGGGGAAGCUGGAAUUCCUGGUGUAGGGGUGAAAUCUGUAGAUAUCAGGAAGAACACCAAUAGCGAAGGCGAGCUUCUGGCCAAAGACUGACGCUGAGGCGCGAAAGCGUGGGGAGCGAACAGG